RNAcentral lists this long non-coding RNA (500 nucleotides) under Rattus norvegicus (Norway rat). Its description in RNAcentral is "long non-coding RNA NONRATT025989". The record is from RNAcentral. Lineage: Eukaryota; Metazoa; Chordata; Mammalia; Rodentia; Muridae.
GCUCACCUAAUGGAAAGGUUCAGCAGCCUCACUUGCCCUUCUCAAGCCUCCCAGCCUUGCUCACACAGAAUGCUAAGAAUGGCCAGAUGCUGCCCAGGCUUGUAUUUGGCCUCAGCCAAGGUCAGGUUGUCUGGGAGGAAGCAGAGGAGGGGCACCCUUGCUUAGUAAGGAGGAGGAGGAAGGGCCCCAGACAGAGCAGCCUUGCAAGAUCUUUUAUGUGCAAGCCUGGCUCAUCAGCAACUCUGCUUGGAGUUCACCCCCAUCCCUCAUUUCCUCCUAUACCAGGAAGGGGUGCUGGGCAAUUGGGAGGGGGCAUUGCUUCCGAUCUGGUGUGAGGCUCACAUUCCUCUGCAGUAUCCUGGGGUUGCCUGCCUGCAGACACCUGGCUGGAAUAACAAUGAGUGGGAAGCUCAGCUCUGAGGAUGCUCUGCUAAGGGAGGCUAGUUCUGCUGAGCUCGCACUUCCUCCCUGCCUUUCCUUCCAGGCCAGGCCCUCUUUGA